CGGGAAACCGGAGCUAAUACCGGAUGAUAUUUUGAACCGCAUGGUUCAAAAGUGAAAGACGGUCUUGCUGUCACUUAUAGAUGGAUCCGCGCUGCAUUAGCUAGUUGGUAAGGUAACGGCUUACCAAGGCAACGAUGCAUAGCCGACCUGAGAGGGUGAUCGGCCACACUGGAACUGAGACACGGUCCAG
RNAcentral lists this ribosomal RNA (190 nucleotides) under uncultured Staphylococcus sp. Its description in RNAcentral is "partial 16S ribosomal RNA". It matches the Rfam family "Bacterial small subunit ribosomal RNA", at positions 150 to 334 of the family's 1533-position model. Lineage: Bacteria; Bacillati; Bacillota; Bacilli; Caryophanales; Staphylococcaceae. The record is from RNAcentral.